RNAcentral lists this unclassified non-coding RNA (386 nucleotides) under Borreliella garinii. Its description in RNAcentral is "partial 16S-23S ribosomal RNA intergenic spacer". Lineage: Bacteria; Pseudomonadati; Spirochaetota; Spirochaetia; Spirochaetales; Borreliaceae. The record is from RNAcentral.
AAGGCAGCUGUAUUAUAAAAUAUGGUUGAAUUGUCUUCCUUUUAAAAAUAAAGAUAAAUUAAGAUGAAUUUCAUUAAUUCUUCUCUCUAUUUUUAUUUUGAUGAAAAUUUUUUUUAAGUCAAAGUAAAUUUUUAGUUUAAACUUUAGAAAAAAUAAAUCUUUGUUAAGUAUUUAGUGCUAUAUAGUUUAAUAUUGAAUUAAGCGUUGGUAAUAGUAAAUCAUAAUUUUAAAUUUUGAAGUGAAAGGCUUUUAUAUUGCUAGAUGUGCAUUUAAAUCUAAUAUAACGGCAAUUGGUCAUUUUAAAAUUGAGAUUAUAUUCUAAAUAUUGCUUAACAUUUACCAAAUAUUUUAUUGUUCUGAUUAAUUGGCUUAAAGUAAUACCGAAG